GAUGAACGCUGGCGGCGUGCCUAAUACAUGCAAGUCGAGCGAACAGAUAAGGAGCUUGCUCCUUUGACGUUAGCGGCGGACGGGUGAGUAACACGUGGGUAACCUACCUAUAAGACUGGGAUAACUUCGGGAAACCGGAGCUAAUACCGGAUAAUAUUUCGAACCGCAUGGUUCGAUAGUGAAAGAUGGUUUUGCUAUCACUUAUAGAUGGACCCGCGCCGUAUUAGCUAGUUGGUAAGGUAACGGCUUACCAAGGCGACGAUACGUAGCCGACCUGAGAGGGUGAUCGGCCACACUGGAACUGAGACACGGUCCAGACUCCUACGGGAGGCAGCAGUAGGGAAUCUUCCGCAAUGGGCGAAAGCCUGACGGAGCGACGCCGCGUGAGUGAUGAAGGUCUUCGGAUCGUAAAACUCUGUUAUUAGGGAAGAACAUACGUGUAAGUAACUGUGCACGUCUUGACGGUACCUAAUCAGAAAGCCACGGCUAACUACGUG
RNAcentral lists this ribosomal RNA (497 nucleotides) under uncultured bacterium. Its description in RNAcentral is "partial 16S ribosomal RNA". It matches the Rfam family "Bacterial small subunit ribosomal RNA", at positions 28 to 507 of the family's 1533-position model. The record is from RNAcentral.